Molecule: ribosomal RNA, 785 nt
Filed under: uncultured Acidobacteriota bacterium
Lineage: Bacteria; Pseudomonadati; Acidobacteriota
Description: bacterial SSU rRNA
Rfam family: Bacterial small subunit ribosomal RNA
Source: RNAcentral
AGGGUUUGAUCAUGGCUCAGAAUCAACGCUGGCGGCGUGCCUCAGACAUGCAAGUCGAACGAUUAAAGCUCCCUUCGGGGAGUGCAUAAAGUGGCGCACGGGUGAGUAACACGUAAGUAAUCUACCCUCGAGUGGGGAAUAACAUCGGGAAACCGAUGCUAAUACCGCAUAAUGCAGCGGCACCGCAAGGUGACAGUUGUUAAAGAUUUAUUGCUUGAGGAGGAGCUUGCGGCAGAUUAGCUUGUUGGUAAGGUAACGGCUUACCAAGGCUACGAUCUGUAUCCGGUCUAAGAGGACGGUCGGACACACUGACACUGAAUAACGGGUCAGACUCCUACGGGAGGCAGCAGUCGGGAAUUUUGGGCAAUGGGGGAAACCCUGACCCAGCAACGCCGCGUGAAGGAUGAAGUAUUUCGGUAUGUAAACUUCGAAAGAAUAGGAAGAAUUAAUGACGGUACUAUUUAUAAGGUCCGGCUAACUACGUGCCAGCAGCCGCGGUAAUACGUAGGGACCAAGCGUUGUUCGGAUUUACUGGGCGUAAAGGGCGCGUAGGCGGCGCGGUAAGUCACUUGUGAAAUCUCUGAGCUUAACUCAGAACGGCCAAGUGAUACUGCAGUGCUAGAGUGUGGAAGGGGCAAUCGGAAUUCUUGGUGUAGCGGUGAAAUGCGUAGAUAUCAAGAGGAACACCUGAGGUGAAGACGGGUUGCUGGGCCAACACUGACGCUGAGGCGCGAAAGCCAGGGGAGCAAACGGGAUUAGAUACCCCGGUAGUCCUGGCCCUAAAC